RNAcentral lists this long non-coding RNA (1614 nucleotides) under Pan troglodytes (chimpanzee). RNAcentral's name for it is "long non-coding RNA NONPTRT013686". Lineage: Eukaryota; Metazoa; Chordata; Mammalia; Primates; Hominidae. The record is from RNAcentral.
CAGAAAUGUACCCAAUAAUUUCCUAUAAAAUUUUUCAAAGUCCUUUUAUUCCCCUGACACACUCAGGGUGAAUUUUUAUCUCCUUGGCAAAUAAGAAAAAAAAGGAGAGAGACCACUGGAGAGAUAUCAGCAAACCACCCACAGUAACCAAGUUCAGUAUUUCCUCUUUCUAUAUUUUGACCAAUAUAUUAAGAGCAAGUUUUGUCAUUAUUACUCCUUGUGGCUAUUACCUGAGAUCAGAUAAUAUAAUCUCAGCUCAUAAAGCUUGGCCAUUUCUAUACUUAUCUUGGAGAGCAAUAACAAACUUGAUUAAUUUGUUUGGUUAUUUAAAAUUCCAACUUUCAUAAAUGCUCUGUGAUGUACUCAAGACGAUUGGGUUGUGUGAUACUAACUUCCUGCAAGAACUCAGUCUGUUCCCUGUUGUCUGGUUCAGAGGUCCACCAGGGCAAAAUAGAAGCCUUGCCGAGAAAGUGAACUGUCUUACUCCUUCAAAGGAAUCAGAUGUUGCUCUAGAGAAGACUCCAGGCAUCUACUUGGUUGAGCUCAAAUGAGAUAAUGCCUGUGAUUAGUGAAUGGCGGCAUUAUUCCUGAAGACAAAUGAAGGAAGAUAGGGACCAAGAUCGACUGUCAUUUGAAUGAUGGAAGAGAAGUAGAAUUACUGUGAGGUUACAAAAAUCGUAAGUUAGCAGACAUUGAGAAAGGAAAACUUCCUACUUGGGCUUUUCAGGCUUAUGUGACAUUAUCUGGAUGUGUUUUCUAGUCUUUCCUAAAGGAGAAAUUUUUAUUCCUGGGUUGCUGAAAGCUUUCUGGACUAAAAGGAUAUAAGCAGCUCAAUAGCAGCAUAGAGGAUUAGAUUAAUGGAACAGCACUGCAUACAGGAAACCUAAAUCUCCAAUAGUUUAGGCUGCAAGUCAGUAGCCAAACACAAGAGCAUGUAAGAUUUGGAGGACAAAGUAUAAAUAUUUUAAGUUUACACAACCAAGAUUAUAGGCUACCUUCCCAACUUCUAAUUUGAAGAGCACUGAAAACGGAGCUGUGAACACUUCAUUUUAAAAACCUGACAAUAUGGUGCUAUUGACUACUUAAUACAAAGAUAUAUUACAAUAUUUUUAGGUAAAUGUAUUAAGUCUGGCCUGGGCAUAAAUGUACAUACAGAAAAUGUUUGUAGAGAAUUCAUCAAAAUCAUGCCCAUUUGCUGUUGUAGAGCUACAGUAUUCUUCAAUGGUGGUGACUGACCAGUGAGUUUCUACUUCCUACAGAUGGGACACAACAGUCAUGGGCUGUCUCAGCUGCCCAAAGCCUGAGGCAGACCACAUGAGAGCUGUGGCUUCUUCUUGGAUUCAGGUUGGAUAACCCAAUUCAGUAAUUAAAUAUGUAAAUUUUGGGGGGGGGUUGGGGGGUGUUUUCUAGGAACUUGAAGAGUACGUGACAUUAUAAAAAAUGGGUGUUGGAAGACUAAUUGUAGAAAUUUGACCUGAGGGCCAAUGUUACUUGGUGUAAGUUCACUCAGACAGACAUGUCAGAACAUGCCCAAAGAAGCCUAUAUCUUGCUGCUGGGAAAUGUAAAGCAGUUUGCAUGUAGAAUAUGAUAAUAAAUCAUUUAAGAACCCACCA